UCUUUGGAUACAGUGGCGAACGGGUGAGUACACGUAGGUAACCUGGCCAUACCUGGGGGAUAAUUUCUGGAAACGGAAACUAAUACCGCAUGGGUUUUGCUUAAGCCUUUAAGCGAAAUGAAAGAAGCGCGAGACGCUUCGGGGAUGGAUGGUCCUGCGCUGCAUUAGCUGGCUGGUGAGGCAACGGCUCACCAGGGCGAUGAUGCAUAGCCGGCCUGAGAGGGCGGACGGCCACACUGGGACUGAGACACGGCCCAGACUCCUGCGGGAGGCAGCAGUAGGGAAUUUUCGUCAAUGGGGGCAACCCUGAACGAGCAAUGCCGCGUGAGCGAAGAAGGUCUUCGGAUUGUAAAGCUCUGUUGCCGGGGAAAAAGGAAGGAAAGAGGAAAUGCUUUUCUUUGGAUGGUACCCGGCCAGAAAGUCACGGCUAACUACGUGCCAGCAGCCGCGGUAAUACGUAGGUGGCAAGCGUUAUCCGGAAUGAUUGGGCGUAAAGGGUGAGCAGGCGGUUCUUCAAGUCAUGAGUGAAAGGCAGAAGCUUAACUUCUGUUGGCUGAUGAGACUGGAGAACUUGAGUACAGGAGAGGGCGGCGGAACUCCAUGUGUAGCGGUAAAAUGCGUAGAGAUAUGGAAGAACACCAGUGGCGAAGGCGGCCGCCUGGACUGAAACUGACGCUCAGGCACGAAAGCGUGGGGAGCAAAUAGGAUUAGAUACCCUAGUAGUCCACGCCGUAAACGAUGAGGAGCAGGUGUCGCAAUGAAAUGCGGUGCCGAAGCCAACGCAAUGACUCCUCCGCCUGGGGAGUAUGCACGCAAGUGU
Molecule: ribosomal RNA, 820 nt
Filed under: uncultured bacterium
Lineage: Bacteria
Description: bacterial SSU rRNA
Rfam family: Bacterial small subunit ribosomal RNA
Source: RNAcentral